RNAcentral lists this long non-coding RNA (842 nucleotides) under Homo sapiens (human). Its description in RNAcentral is "HSALNT0347101". The record is from RNAcentral. Lineage: Eukaryota; Metazoa; Chordata; Mammalia; Primates; Hominidae.
AAAUUCUGGUAAAAAAACACAGUGAAAAUUUGCUAUCUUAACCAUGUUGAAAUGUGCAGUUAGUAAAGGACAUUCACAUUGUGGUGCAAGCCAUCACUACCAUCCAUCACUAGAACCCUUUUCAUCUUGCAGAUCUGAAACUCUACCCAUUAAACAACUUCCCAUCUUCCCAUCCCCACAGCUCCUAGCAACCAACAUUCUACUUUCUCUAUCAGUUUGACUACUCUAGGUACCUCAUAUGAGUAGAAUCAUACAGCAUUUAUCCUUCUCUGCCUGGCUUAUUUCACUUGUGCUCCUUCCAACUUUGGGCUGUUGGGUGUCCUGCCACUGUUGCUCCUAGUGCUCAAUCUCGAUUACUCCCUCCUAAUCGAGUGUACAACGUUGGACACUGUGCAGGAUGAUGCCACUUCAUCUUGGAUGCUAAUCUGCCAUGUUGACUUCUGAUUAACCCCAGGCCCAGGAAUGCCUCAAGAUUUCUACUUUACUUACUGUUGCUUGUGUAAGCCAAGACAACCUUGAUGUUAUCAUAAACGUGUACUUACCUAAGUCCUGUCCUUUGGCAAAUUAUGGGCUAUGAGACACAGCAUUCUUGCCUUUCCCUGAGGGGUCAGUUUCAGCGAUCCUACACAUUCCUUCUGAAGCACGUAUGCUCUUUCUAUAUGGUAUGUAAGCUCUGGGUCUGGGGAGUAACAGUGCAGAGAUCUACCUGUCUUGUUGCCACAUGUUUCUAAACUUUCCAAUAAAUCACCUUCUACUGACAAAAAAAAAAAAAAAAAAAGAAAGAAAAUCUGACAGGGCCCAGUGAGGUCAGCUCAUCUCCAUGAUGCCUGGAGCCUCAUCCA